GAAUAAGUCUCGAGGAGUCGAAUGUAAACUCGACUUUAGGCAGGUAUACACGACGUUACCUCCUUGAGUGCGUACGUACGCAACGUGUGCGAAUGGGGGGGAAACCAGUCAGUCGUAUAAAACCGAGCGGCGAGUCGCGGCUCUAGUCAGUCUCUCACUCGGUCGGUACCUAACGCGAACGUCGUUUCUUUUCGUAAUAUUUUCUUCACGUUGUGCUUUCCCUGUAAUUCCCCCGUCCCCUGUUCUCCCUCGUUCUGCUCGUAUUCGCAUGCGCGUUGACAAAAUACGAAUACAAAUUUGACGUCGACUUCAGAGUUAAAAAAGAAGAAAGAAAAAAAAAAAAAAAAAAAAAAAAAAAAAGAAAAAGAAGGAAAAAAAUAAUUAAAAAAAAAAAAAAAAAAAAAAGAAAGGAAAAAAAAAAAUAGAAAAAUAGAAAAAUAAAAAAACAGAAGAACGAAAAGGGAGAACACGGGAACGAGAUCGAUAUCUAAGAGGUGGAUUCGUCGAUUGUGAUUUUGUGUUUUUGUGUUGUAUAUAUAUAUAUAUAUAUAUAUACACGUGAGUGACGUUCGUUUUGACUUUGGAAUAGAAAAAAAAAAAGAAAGGAAAGAAAAGAAAAGAAAAGAAGAGAUGAAGUCGUAAUAACAACAUCGGAUACAAAGUGAAUAAGAAGAAAAACAGAAAAGAAAAGAAAAGAAAAGAAAAGAGGAAAGAGAAAAGAAGAGAAUUCUACGUCGAAGAGGAACAAUUAUCAAUGGUCAUCCUUCAUCUUAAUUAGCCCCCAGGAAGAUUCUAGUUACUUCUUGCCUCUAUUUUCUAUCUCUAUAUCUACCUAUCUAUUUAUCUAUCUAUCCAUCUAUCUAUGUAUCUAUCUUGUCUAUCCAUCCAUCUAUAUACACACACACAUAUAUAUAUAUCUUUCUUCCUUCCUUAUGAAAGAAAAAUCUGAUCAACGCUGUUGAAAGAUCUCUAAAGAAGACGUUAUUGCGAAGAGAAGAGAGAAUAUAUCGAGGUGUGCAUUUAACGAUCGAAAAAGGAGGAAGACUCGAGGAUCGUAAAGUAACGCUCUCUCUCUCGCUAUACAGAUAGAGAGAGAGAGAGAGAGAGAGAGAGAGAGAGAGAGAGAGAGAAAAAGAAAAAGAAGACGACGGUGGUCUCUAAAGCAAACGCGUCGAACGAAGUUAUUAACAACCACGUGUGUGGCGUCGGUGUGAAAGAGCGUUAAUUAACACCGUCGUCAUAUGGAAGCAUAAUGGCGGUCCGCUGAAAGACGGUCUCGGGAAAGAAAGAAAAGGAGAAAGAAAAUAAAGAGGUAAAAGAAGAAAUAUAUAAGAAAGCAUCGGGCAAGGAAGAAGAUUAUGAGGCGCCCGUAGGAAAGGACCAUUUCUACCUUUACUUUCUACUGUUUUUCGUCGUAGAAAUAUGUCGAAAGGAGGAAAGAAAGCAACGUCGUUAUUCAACAUGAGAGCCACUCGAGCAGCCUCAGCGUUUCUCCUAUUCUACUCUGCAAUCGAAAUUAUGAGAAAAGUGAAAAAAUAAAGGAAGAAAGAUAGUAAUGGAAAAAUUAUCUGAUAUAAAUCUUGUAAUAUAACUAUUGUUACGAUAAAUAUAUAUAUAUAUAUAUAUAUAUAUAUAUAUAUAUAUGUUUAACUUUACUAAUGUUAAUUGGUACAUCACACGCUUACAUGAUAUAUUAAUGUAGUUUAAUUAGUACACAUAGAUAUUAUAAUUGUAUAUUACUAACUUAUUUGUGUAUGUAUUUAUGUAUGUUGAAAUUGAAAAUUUUAUUUAUUCCCAUAGGAAUAAACAACGUGUACAUCAAAAUGACAUAUCGUUAUUAUAUAUUUGUAUUAUAAUUAUUUUCCUUGUUUAUUUUUCGAUUCAAUUUCAACAAUUUGAUUUCGUAUACGUAUAUUGUAUAUUUUGAAAAUAAUAUUUUUCAUAUGAAAUUCAAUUAUAUCUGAUUGUUAUUCUUGGCUGAAUAUAAAAAGUGUUACAUAAAUGGUGACUUAAGAAUUCUCAGAAAAAAAAAGAAAAAGAAAAAAAAAAAAAGAAAUAUGAAAACACACUAAUUAUCUACCAUCGUAUCAAUGGUUAUCUCAUACAGUGCGAAAAAUUAAAAUUAAAAAGAAGGAAAGAAAAAAAUAAAAGAAAAUGAAGAAAAAAGAAAAUGAAAUUUUUAAAGAAAGAAAAAUAAUCAACAGAGAUUUUAUUGUUCCGGAUGUUUUUUUUUUUUUUUUUUUUUUUUUGAUAUAAUUAGAUUAAAACGGGAUUGGGACAAGAGAGUCGACGAUGGAAUAAAAGACCCUUUUGUUGUUGUUGUCCUUGCAUCUCUUUGUUACUAUAGACGAUAGAAAUUCACUUUGCAUUUGAAGCGAGAUAGAAACAUUGGUCGAUAAUAAUACGAGUUGUUGUACGUGUCGUCGUCUCUUGUAUUAAUGUUACGAGGCCUACUACGUCUAUCCAUCGUCAUCGUCUUAUUCAAUUCAACCGGUAAUAUUACAUGUGUACGAGUGUUCGUUGGAUUAUCGUUUCUUCAGUUACUAAGACGACUUGAUACAUAUUCCUGCCUAUUGUUUGUUAAAAUAGAAAUGCACAGAGAAUGCACAUUUGUUUUUGCAGAAUAAGCCAGAACAAGACGUACAUUCUAACUCGAGUGAAUUUUGUUCGAUAUUACGAUUGAUCUUCUGUUUUUCUCAACUUCACCGUGUACUAUUCAAUUCUCGUUGUUAGUUCGAAAGAGAGAAAGAGAGAGAGAGAGAGAGAAAGAGAGAGAGAGAGAGAGAAGGACACGCGAUAUGUUCAACCUUCUAUAAUAGACAUUCACGUCCAUCUAUCUAUUUUAUUUCAUUGUUUUGUCACAAAAUAGAUCUUCGGCAUAUAUUCGCGAAAAUUAUAAUAAUUUUAUACACGUAUAUAAUAUUUAAUGUAACAAUAGUUAUAAGAUUUGCAUUAGAUAAUUUUUCUUGUUCUCUUUUUUUUUCUUUUUUAUUUUUAUACACGACAAAAAAUUACGUCUUAUUGUUUUCUUUGGGCGACAAAAGAAAAGAAGAUGAAGAAAAGAGAGAGAGAGAGAGAGAGAGAGAGAGAGAGAUCGAUAAUUUCGAUUAAUUUGAUUUUUGAUAAUAAAUUUUUUUUUCCUUUUGUUAUUAUAAAUUUAAUAGCGUCGUUGUUUCAUUUGACAUUGUAUAAAAUGACAGAGACAAGAAUAUAAUUUCUUUGAUCGAAUAAUAUGAAUUUUCAUCUCGAAUAAAUUUCUCUUUCACGUUAACAUAUUGUAACGAUUAUUAUUUGGUUGUAAUAAUCAACGUAAAUGUACGUAUAUAUAAACGUAAUGAACGUAGAAUCAGAUAGAUCAAUUUCUCAAAUACAAUAUAAUCCAAAUCGGCAUUGUAUUCUCGCGAGAAAUUUAUUCCGCUUACGAAACGAUCGUAGGAACGAUCGAUGAAAGCGUGGUAGGGAUACGUCAAGGGAAUCGCAAAUGAGAAAAGAAAACGAGAAGACGAAGAAAAAGAAAGAAGGAAAAAGAAAGAAGGAAAAAGAACGAAGACGAAGACGAAGACGAAGACGACGACGACGACGACGACGACAACGACGACGACGACGGCGACGACUACAACCACAACGACGACGGAAGCUCGUUUAUAUCCUUAUCGCGUUACGUAAAAAAAAAAAAAAAAAAAAAAAAUAAA
This is a long non-coding RNA of Vespa velutina, 3692 nucleotides long. RefSeq lists it as uncharacterized. The transcript has 4 exons. The record is from RefSeq and is a predicted model, not a curated record. Lineage: Eukaryota; Metazoa; Arthropoda; Insecta; Hymenoptera; Vespidae.